UACGGAGGGUGCAAGCGUUAUCCGGAAUCAUUGGGUUUAAAGGGUCCGUAGGCGGAUUGAUAAGUCAGGGGUGAAAUCCCACAGCUCAACUGUGGAACUGCCUUUGAUACUGUUAGUCUUGAGUUAUAUGGAAGUAGAUAGAAUGUGUAGUGUAGCGGUGAAAUGCUUAGAGAUUACACAGAAUACCGAUUGCGAAGGCAGUCUACUACGUAUAUACUGACGCUAAUGGACGAAAGCGUGGGGAGCGAACAGGAUUAGAUACCCCGGUAGU
RNAcentral lists this ribosomal RNA (271 nucleotides) under uncultured bacterium. Its description in RNAcentral is "partial 16S ribosomal RNA". It matches the Rfam family "Bacterial small subunit ribosomal RNA", at positions 524 to 794 of the family's 1533-position model. The record is from RNAcentral.